Long non-coding RNA from Mus musculus (house mouse), 657 nucleotides. RefSeq annotates it as predicted gene, 46036. Lineage: Eukaryota; Metazoa; Chordata; Mammalia; Rodentia; Muridae. The record is from RefSeq and is a predicted model, not a curated record. The transcript has 3 exons.
UUUGCCAGCGGACCGCUUCGCCGGUCCCAUUCUAUGGAAACACAGCCCGGAGAGUAAGUUAACAAUGAAAUCACGUGGAGUUAGGAGCAUAGUAAGCUCUAGCCCCAGCUCCUCCGAGCUCUUCGCUCCAAGGGGUCGGCUCAGAAGAGCAGCAAGGGGGACACCGGCUGUGACGGAGCCUGACAGGGAAGAACGAACUGCUGGCAGUGCGAUCUAGAAACCCUCACUCAAGAUCCAUCGCAGAUGGUUCCGAACCACAGAAGCCUAUGGCGAGCAGACUCUGGAGCGGAAAGUUUAUAAGUCGAAUGAACGAAAUCUACGAAAUCUACGGAGACCGAGACCCAGUGAGUCAGGCUGGCAAUGUAGCUCAGCUCCUAGAGUGCUUGCCUAGCACGCGGGAGGUCCUGAGCUCGAGCCCCAUCAUAAUACUGGAUGCGGUGGUGGCACACUUGUUGUCCCAAGACUCCACAGCGGGCAUGGAGAGGAUCUCAAGCUUAUCCUCAGAUAAUUAACGUGUGUGCUGAAACAUGGACGGAAAUCUGGUUACUGAGCAGUUGGCAGCCAUGGGUGGAGAGGAAGACAUACUUGUCAGAAUAAAAGAAUGAACAGGAGGCAGUUCGGCACCAAUCUCUGUGAGACCCUAGUCUCUCCAGGAAC